Molecule: long non-coding RNA, 522 nt
Organism: Lucilia cuprina (Australian sheep blowfly)
Lineage: Eukaryota; Metazoa; Arthropoda; Insecta; Diptera; Calliphoridae
Exons: 4
Source: RefSeq, a predicted model, not a curated record
AAUUUCUAUAUUUAUUUCAUCUAUAUAAUGGUGUAAUUUUUUUUUAUAAAUUUAUAUUUUUCAAAAUCAUGUGACUUAAAACGAUUUCUCAAUAAAGGCGGUAUCAUGACAACUCGGUUCGAAUGUGGGGCGUUUGUAGUGUGUAUUUGCAUUAAUCGUUUGCAGUUCAAAAUUAUGGCAUUUAAAUUGCAAAAAUAAAAUACUUUGUUGUCGAGUGAUUUGAAUUUAUUAAAACUAAAGCGAAAAAGUUUCAACAAAAUCUUCAGAAUUCCUCCGGUCAUAUAAUAAUAUUAGGCCCCGCCAAAAGAAUUUGAGUUUCUUACUUGCAACAUUAAACAACUCAAUUUAUCUCAACGAUCUAUUAACAAGCGAUAUCCUUGGUUGGAGUAAAACAUGUAAUAAGCCCGAUCUUGAGAGGAAAGAACACAAUUAUGCUGACAAGUACUACAGUAUAAUAGAUCUUUUUACAAUCCUAUGUAACUAAUUUUGUUCAAUAUAUUACUUAUUUAUAUUUUUUUUAUA